AACGCACAUUGCGCCCGCCAGUAUUCUGGCGGGCAUGCCUGUCCGAGCGUCAUUUCAACCCUCGAACCCCCCCCGGGGGUCCGGCGUUGGGGAUCGGGGACCCCUGAGACGGGAUCCCGGCCCCGAAAUACAGUGGCGGUCCCGCCGCAGCCUCUCCUGCGCAGUAGUUUGCACAACUCGCACCGGGAGCGCGGCGCGCCCACGUCCGUAAAACACCCAACCUUCUGAAAUGUUGACCUCGGAUCAGGUAGGAAUACCCGCUGAACUUAA
This 270-nucleotide unclassified non-coding RNA is filed under the name uncultured fungus. RNAcentral describes it as "partial contains 5.8S ribosomal RNA, internal transcribed spacer 2, and large subunit ribosomal RNA". The stretch from base 1 to 52 matches the Rfam family "5.8S ribosomal RNA", at positions 103 to 154 of the family's 154-position model. The record is from RNAcentral. Lineage: Eukaryota; Fungi.